RNAcentral lists this ribosomal RNA (459 nucleotides) under uncultured bacterium. RNAcentral's name for it is "partial 16S ribosomal RNA". It matches the Rfam family "Bacterial small subunit ribosomal RNA", at positions 338 to 795 of the family's 1533-position model. The record is from RNAcentral.
CCUACGGGGCGCAGCAGUGAGGAAUAUUGGUCAAUGGGCGGGAGCCUGAACCAGCCAUGCCGCGUGAAGGCGAGUGCCCUACGGGCGUUAAACUUCUUUUGUGCGGGAGCAAUAAGGGCCACGGGUGGCCCGAUGAGAGUACCGAACGAAUUAGCAUCGGCUAACUCCGUUCCAGCAGCCGGGGUAAUACGGGGGAUGCGGGCGUUAUCCGGGUUUUUUGGGUUUAAAGGGUGCGGAGGGGGGGCUUCAGGGUAGCGGUGAAAGACCGGGGCUCAACCCCGGGGCUGCCGUUGAAACCGGAGCGCUAGAAUUCCGAUGCCGUCGGAGGAAUGUGUGGUGUAGCGGUGAAAUGCAUAGAUAUCACACAGAACACCGAUUGCGAAGGCAUCUGACGAAUCGGAGAUUGACGCUGAUGCACGAAAGCGUGGGUAUCGAACAGGAUUAGGUACCCGAGUAGUC